Molecule: small nuclear RNA, 107 nt
Organism: Heterocephalus glaber (naked mole-rat)
Lineage: Eukaryota; Metazoa; Chordata; Mammalia; Rodentia; Bathyergidae
Source: Ensembl
GUGCUUGCUUUGGCAGCACAUCUACUGAAACUGGAAUGAUACAGAGAAGAUUAGCAUGUUUCCUGCCCAAGGAUGACACACAAAUUCAUGAAGCAUUAAGUAUUUUU